This 339-nucleotide ribosomal RNA is filed under the name uncultured Pseudomonadota bacterium. Its description in RNAcentral is "bacterial SSU rRNA". It matches the Rfam family "Bacterial small subunit ribosomal RNA", at positions 29 to 351 of the family's 1533-position model. Lineage: Bacteria; Pseudomonadati; Pseudomonadota. The record is from RNAcentral.
AAUGAACGCUGGCGGCGUGCCUAACACAUGCAAGUCGAACGAGAAAGCCUGGCUUGCCAGGCAAGUAAAGUGGCGCACGGGUGAGUAACGCGUGGGUAAUCUACCUUUGUCUGGGGGAUAACAUACCGAAAGGUGUGCUAAUACCGCAUAACGUGAUCGGAUUGCGAUUUGAUCACCAAAGAAGGCCUCUCCCUGGAAGCUUUCGGGUAAAGAUGAGCCCGCGUCCCAUUAGCUAGUUGGUAGGGUAAAGGCUUACCAAGGCUACGAUGGGUAGCUGGUCUGAGAGGAUGGCCAGCCACACUGGAACUGGAACACGGUCCAGACUCCUACGGGAGGCUG